UGUGUAUGAUGACAUUUUUUUAUGCGGAAUCCGAUUUAAACUGCGGAUAACAACCUUGGAGAGCUGAACACUCG
This 74-nucleotide small nucleolar RNA is filed under the name Lepisosteus oculatus (spotted gar). The record is from RNAcentral. Lineage: Eukaryota; Metazoa; Chordata; Actinopteri; Semionotiformes; Lepisosteidae.